UGACCCUACGGGACGCAGCAGUGAGGAAUAUUGGUCAAUGGGCGGGAGCCUGAACCAGCCAAGUCGCGUGAGGGAAGACGGUCCUAUGGAUUGUAAACCUCUUUAGGCGGGGAGCAAUGCCGGGCACGUGUGCCCGGAGGGAGAGUACCCGCAGAAUAAGCAUCGGCUAACUCCGUGCCAGCAGCCGCGGUAAUACGGAGGAUGCGAGCGUUAUCCGGAUUUAUUGGGUUUAAAGGGUGCGUAGGCGGUCCGUUAAGUCAGCGGUAAAAUUGCGGGGCUCAACCCCGUCGAGCCGUUGAAACUGG
RNAcentral lists this ribosomal RNA (305 nucleotides) under uncultured bacterium. RNAcentral describes it as "bacterial SSU rRNA". It matches the Rfam family "Bacterial small subunit ribosomal RNA", at positions 334 to 636 of the family's 1533-position model. The record is from RNAcentral.